This 239-nucleotide long non-coding RNA is filed under the name Mytilus galloprovincialis (Mediterranean mussel). Lineage: Eukaryota; Metazoa; Mollusca; Bivalvia; Mytilida; Mytilidae. The record is from RNAcentral.
GCUGUAUAUUUAUCAAAAUUAAAAAAAAUGGACUUUUUACAGUUUUAUAAAAUUUGAUCCACAUAAUCUCCCUGCAAAAUGAAACAAAAUGUCGUUUUAAAAAAUAGGGGUCCAUGCACUCGUUUUCAAAUUAAAUCAGUUUGAAUGAUAAAAAUCAGUCGAAAAAUGCAUCUUUUCCCGAUAUGUCAUAGUUUGACGUCGCGAAACUAACAUUUUACGUUAGCAACGUCAUUACCUCA